RNAcentral lists this transfer RNA (73 nucleotides) under Nematostella vectensis (starlet sea anemone). It matches the Rfam family "tRNA". From Rfam's summary of the family: Transfer RNA (tRNA) molecules are approximately 80 nucleotides in length. Their secondary structure includes four short double-helical elements and three loops (D, anti-codon, and T loops). The record is from Rfam by way of RNAcentral. Lineage: Eukaryota; Metazoa; Cnidaria; Anthozoa; Actiniaria; Edwardsiidae.
GGUCCCAUGGUGUAAUGGUUAGCACUCUGGACUCUGAAUCCAGCCAUCCAGAGUUCAAAUCUCGGUGGGACCU